Long non-coding RNA from Pongo pygmaeus (Bornean orangutan), 3902 nucleotides. RefSeq lists it as uncharacterized. The record is from RefSeq and is a predicted model, not a curated record. Lineage: Eukaryota; Metazoa; Chordata; Mammalia; Primates; Hominidae. The transcript has 3 exons.
UUCAAAUUGAAGAACUCCCUUUAGCAUUUCUUGUAGGAGAAGUCUGGUGUUGAUGAAAUCCCUCUACUUUUGUUUGGUUGGGAAUCUUUAUCUCUCCUUCAUCUUUGAAGGAUAUUUUCCCUGGAUAUAUUAUUCUAGGAUAAAAGUUUUUUUUUUUUCUUCAGCACUUUAAAUAUGUCAUGCCACUGUCGCCUGGCCUGUAAGAUUUCCACUGAGAAGUCUGCUGCCAGACAUGUUUUUUGUUUUUAUUUUUGUAGAGACAGUGUCUCACUAUGUUGCCCAGGCUGGUCUUGAGCUCCUGAACUCAAGCAAUCCUUCUGCCUGGCCUUCCAAAAUGCUGGGAUUACAGGUGUGAGCCAUGGUUCCCAGCCAGAGUUUAAAAUUGGAUAUGACAGUUGGACUGGUGGGUUAGAAUUCCAGUUUCUCCCCACUGAGGCCAGGGUCCAUAAUCUGAGCACAUCUAGUUCAUCUUCUCCAGAUCAAUUUGGUGACUCCCUACUCAGUCUCCAUCUCAGAAGUAGGGACAGAAGGAGGAAUCUGAAGGCAGGAGGAGCAGAAAAUAUGCCUUCAAUACCUCUUUUACUAUCAAAUAUCAUAGAGUCUAAGGGACACGUUAAAGGUCUAUCAUGUGUGAUUAAAGACCAAAAAGAGUGGAAAUGACUAGCAGGGUUUACACUUGGGUUUCUGCAAGUGAGCAGUGAUCCAACAAAGAUGGUGAGGUAGGGUGGAGUGGGUGAGGGUGGUGCGGAGAUUCAGUGCAGGCCCAGCCCAGCAGGCUUAGUGGGGGUGAGGCAUGGGAAUAGUGGUGAGGAUAGUAUUGGAGUUACUGUGCACAAUCCAAGCUGGAAUAAAACUUUAGGACACCUAAGAAUUUGGGGUAAAAUGGUGUAAUGGACAGAAUAUCCUAGAGAAGUUGUGUUGAGUUUGGGGGUAUAAGUGGGACAUCAGGUAAGGAGGCUGCCGCAGUGGCUUAGCAGCCAGCCUGAGAUCUUGGAGAUAAUGAACAAAGAGACCAAGUUGGCAUGUUAUCUGGGAGCUUGAUGGAUCUGGGGAGAGAGAUUUUCAUCUCAAGAAGGAUUUUCAGAAUUUACAUCUGGACUUGUGCUAUUUGAGAUCUCCUGAGUUUGGUUCAGCAGAGCUUUCUGUAAAGCAUCCUUAGCAGCCCUGAUGUCAGGUGACCGGGGAGGUGGCUGUGAUCUUUGGAUAGCCAGGCAGAGUGGAAUUCCUGUGAGAACCCCUGACAAGUACUCUCCUAAGUCCUUUGCUUCAGUGCCCUGAGAAAGGAUUAAAGCUGAUCCAUGCCAACUCUGUCAAUGGGCUCACCCUGGCUUGUUGGCUUAUUGUUGUUGACAGCUUCCAGGUGUAUGUUUUCUUAGAGAUGGAUUCCAUGCAAGAAAAAUGCGACUCUUGUUGCCUAGGCAUUAGUUUAAUAAGUAAACAAAUUACAAAAUACUAAAGGAGAACACGAAGGUCUUUCCAGGCUUCCCACUGGGCUCCUCAGGAACUGCUUAUCUACGACUUUUCACACUAAAAAAGACUCAACAAUUGUACUAUAGACAGGAUGUAUUUUAUCAUUUUUAUCUUAAUAAAUGUUUUAAAGGUUGUUCUUAUCCAUUAGGACUUCAGCACUGUAUAUCUAUAGGGAGCCUCUCAUUUAAUUUGCAGAAUAAACAAUAUCAUUUCCAUUUCAAAUCUAUAAAAAUAAGAGUCCACGAGAUUAAAGAAAUUGUUCUGCAUCACAUAAUAAGGUAUUAAAAGUGGGUCCCUAGCCGGGAAUGUUGGCAGGCGCCUGUAAUCCCAGCUACUCAGAAGGCCGAGGCAGGAGAAUCGCUUGAACCCGGGAGGCGGAGGUUGCAGUGAGCUGAGAUGGCACCACUGCACUCCAGCCUGGGUGACAGAGGAAACUCUGUCUCAAAACAAACAAACAAACGAAAAAACAAAACCAACCAACCAAACAAAAACUGGGUCCCUAACUUGUAAUUAAGUAUCUAUCCAAGUGUCUGUCUUCCACAGAGAACACACAGUCUUGGAGUCUCACUUUCUACUGAUCAGGACCAUUAACCCUGCAACCUGGUUAGGCUACCAGGUUGGGCAGAUUUCUAUAGGACCUCAUCCCCUAAAGAGUAAAAAUCUCUCAACUGCUCCUUACCCCCUAACUUCAAAAGGAUCCAAAGGAUUUGGUUACCCCACAGGCCUGAGAUAAAAGCUUGACUGUCUUUGCAGGAUUUCAAACCUGUUCUUUGGGGAUGGCCCAACUCCACUUGUUCAAUUUUGCAGCCAGAAGCACGGAUUAAUCAUCAGGUAGGACGCUACUUCAGACUGCUUUCAUGUCAAGAUCUGCCUCAUCUUCCAAAGUGGGAGUUCCCAGCAUUAGGCUUGUGGGGGUGGAAACUUAAUCCGCCUCCUUCCAAAAACUGAAAUCUGGCCAGACGCGGUGGCUCAUGCCUGUAAUCUCAGCACUUUGGGAGGCUAAGUCAAGUGGAGCACGAGGUCAGGAGAUCGAGACCAUCCUGGCCAAGAUGGUGAAACCCCAUCUCUACUGAAAAUACAAAAAUUAGUCGGGCAUGGUGGCUUGUGCCUGUAAUCCCAGCUACUCGGGAGAUUGAGGCGAGAGAAUUGCUUGAACCGAGAGGCAGAGGUUGCAGUGAGCUGAGAUCCCACCACUGCACAUCAGCCUGGGCGACAGAGCCAGAUUCUGUCUCAGAAAAAAAAAAAAAAAGAAAGAAAGCCAACCAAUUCUUGCUGUAACUUCUGAAAAAGAACACAGUGCUCUGGCAGCAAUGAUGAUGACAUUCUUCCAAGGGGCAAGAUAAGAAAGAGGCAAAACAGCUGCUGGAGGUGGAUAUUUGGCACUAGGGAAGUGUGAAAUGUGAAAAAUCGCUAUCACAGAAGAUCAAAGGAGUUAAGAAAAACUCACAAUUUAGAGCUACCUGUUUGUAUUAGUCUGUUUUUAUACCGCUAUAAAGAUACUACUUGAGACUGGGUAAUUUAUAAAGAAAAGAGAUUUAAUUGACUCACAGUUCCACAUGUCUGGGGAGGCCUCAGGAAACUUACAAUCAUGGUGGAAGGUGAAGGGGAAGCAGGCACCUUCUUCACAAGGCAGCAGGAGGGAGCGAGAGAGAAGCAAAGUGGGAAGAGCCCCUUAUAAAACCAUCAGAUCUAUGAGAACUCGCUCAUUAUCAUAAGAACAGCAUGGGGGAACCUCCCCAAUGAUCCAAUCACCUCCCACCAGGUCUCUCCCUCAACACCUGGGAAUUACAAUUCAAGAUAAGAGGCCGGGCGCUCGCCUGUAAUCCUAGCACUUUGGGAGGCCGAGGCGGGCAGAUUGCCUGAGCUCAGGAGUUUGAGACCAGCCUGGGCAACGUGGUGAAACCCCGUCUCUACUAAAAUACAAACAACAACAACAAAAAUUAGCCAGGCGUGGCAGCGUGUGCCUGUAGUCCCAGGUACUCAGGAGGCUGAGGCAGGAGAAGUGCUUGAACCCUGGAAGCAGAGGUUGCAGUGAGCUGAGUUCGUGCCACUGCACUCCAGCCUGGCGACAGAGCAAGACUCCAUCUCAAAAAACAAAAACAAAAACAAUUCAAGAUGAGAUUUGAGUGGGGACACAAAGCCUAACCAUAUCACUGUUUUACAGAGUAAACAGUCACCUAAGUUAACUGUGUUAGAUAUGGUUUCUUGCAUACAUUUUCACUACCUUCUCUAUAUACUCCAUCUUUACUCUACAGAAUUAUAGAAACUGGAAGGCUCAAAACUAUGUUUCCCACUUUUCACCAUCCAUAAAAGUCAAUACUGGAUAAAUUGUAAAUCUAAGUGGAACAAUAACAGUUUCACAAGAAAACAGAAGAAUACUCACGAUUUUGGAGUCCACAAAGAUUUCUUAAACUGGAGACACGCAAAAUAAA